Molecule: long non-coding RNA, 832 nt
Filed under: Meleagris gallopavo (turkey)
Lineage: Eukaryota; Metazoa; Chordata; Aves; Galliformes; Phasianidae
Description: lncRNA (ENSMGAG00000021388.1)
Source: RNAcentral
AUGCUGGAGGAAGGAGCCAUGAGCAUCCUGGUGGUGAAGACCAUCCUGCCCCUGCUGCUCCUUGCCUGGCCGUCCGCUGGACUCGCUCACCAGUGCUCACACAAGAUUUCCGUGUCCUUAGGGUCAAAUCUCACCUUUCACUGUCUACCAAACAGCCCUGACAGGGAGGUGGUGUGGUGUAACAACUUAAACAAGAGGAUAGUACAGGAAGACACAGGGACUGACCUACACCAGGAAAAUGGUUCUUACAACCUCACCUUUACAAGCGUGAAUGAAAAGCAUGCUGGAAAUUACACGUGCAAGAUGAAAGCCUCACGCUGUGUGAGUGCUAAAAACAAGAACUGCCCAUGCAAGAGCCACAAGGAGUCAGACUUAUCUGUCCAACAAAAAACUUCAACCAUCAUCAUGCUGUGCAGGUUCAUGGUCUGGCAAGAGAAUAAGACCAUGCAUGUGAGGUGGUGGACAUGUCCAGAGUCUCCUGAUGACCCCUUGGAGCACAGCAAGGCACAUCACAGUGACAGCCACGGCAGCAUGGAUGCAGCCAGCGCAGAGCCCAUUGUGUGUACCGUGUCAAGCAGAAGCUUCACAGGCACUGAAAAUGCCACCCAAGGGAUGGUUCCCAGCUCUGACCCCAAGAUUUCUCCGACCCGUGAGCCUCAGACCCGGGAAGGUCUCGUAGCAAUCAUCUACCUGUACGCCAUCCCCGGGUUAGUGGUUGUGACUCUUUUCUUCCUGCUUUGUAUUUUGGUGUGCCUGUGCAGAAGAAACCAAAGGCAUGCUAAAGGUAACUCCUGAAAGCAAGCAUGCAGCAGAGAUGAAUCAGCUCAGCACG